Molecule: long non-coding RNA, 557 nt
Organism: Ailuropoda melanoleuca (giant panda)
Lineage: Eukaryota; Metazoa; Chordata; Mammalia; Carnivora; Ursidae
Exons: 3
Source: RefSeq, a predicted model, not a curated record
CCUCAUUCUUCCCACUUUCCAGAUGAGAAAGCCGAGGCACCAUGAGGUUUGGUGAUUUGCUCACGUGACACACCUGCAGCUUCGAUGGACUCGGGAUGGGCCGGCAUCUCAGUUCCUUCUCCAGGAGGGCCUGCCAUCUUACCCCAGACUCCUCGCGUCCUUGCUCGCCUCGGCCCCCGGAGCUUCCUGAAGGGCUGCCCGGAGCCCGCGUGCUCUGCAGGGCUCGGCACGGUGUCCUCUGGCUGCUCUGACGGGACGACGCAGGAUCGCCCGCCAGCCACCCGUGUCGCCCAGCCUGGCGGGUGUGUCUGGGCACGUGCAGUGCUCUGCCUCGCCGUGGAGGGGGAGUCCGAGACCCCGAAGAGCUGGCUCCAAGGCAGACCUGCGGGCAGGCAGAGGAAGGCAGGGGUGAGGCCUGGAGCGGGAGCGCGGUCGGCGGCUUCUGCCUUCUCCGCCAGCUUGCCGGUGAGUGUCACCGCUUCCCAGGAGCGCUCUGUGCCACGGAUCAGAGACCACGGGGGUCCUUGCACGUCACCCGGCACCUGAGGAUGUGACAU